AUGAAACAUGACCGUACAGCCCGGAAAACUCACAGCAAUCCUAAGAGGUAGUUUAGCCAGUUUCCCUUCUCUUAAAGAUGGCCUAUAGCAGUUAAGAUUCUGGGUUGCUGUGAUUUUUCCGGGCUGUAUGGGCAUGUUCCAGAAGCAUUUUCUCCUGACUUUCGCCUCUAUCUGUGGCAGGCAUCUUUAGAGGUUGUGAGGUAUAUUGGAAACUAGUCCAGCGAGGUUUAUAUAUAUCUGGAAGGUCCAGGCUGGGAGAAAGAACUCUUGUCUGUUGGAGGCAUGUGUGAAUGUUGCAGUUGAUCAGCAUUGAAUAACCUUGCAGCUUCAAGGCCUGCCUGUUUCCUGCCCCGGAGAAUCCUUUGUUGGGAGGUGUUAACUAGCCCUGAUUGUUUCAUGUCUGGAAUUCCCAUGUUUUCAGAGUGUUGUUCUUUAUUUGCUGUCUUUAUUCUGGUGUUUUUUAAUACUGGUAGCCAGAUAUUGUUCAUUUUCAUGGCUUCUUCCUUACUGUUAAAAUUGUCCACAUGCUUGUAGAUUCGUUGGCCGUCUCCCCUCCAAGCACUAGCCAGAGCUGAUCCUUCUUAGCUUUCAAGACCAGUGCCUUUGAAGUACUAUUUAUUAUAUACAGAACAGCCCCAUCCUUGUACAUGGCGCUUUAGACGUAAAAGGGCAACAGCACAGUGCCCAGACUUCUGGUUUGCAGUCUAAGACGUGACACAAAAGGCAAAGAAGAUGGCCUUGUGUGUGUGUGGGGGGGGGGGGUCCACUUUGUUGGGUUCGUCCUUGUUCGUGAUUGCUGCUGGAUGCCUUCGACAGCGAAAUCGAGAAGGGGGGGGGGGUUAAAGUGUUAGUGUUAAAGCCUGCAGAAUUUCCUGCCCCUGGAUGUGGCCAUUACUAUAGGGAGAAUUACCCAAAGGUGAAUCUAUAUUGUAGAAUUAAUGCAGUUUGACAUCACUUUCCCUGGCUCAGUGCUAUGCAAUCAAGGGAAUUGUAAUUUCACAAUGUCCUUAGCAUUGUGUUGUCGAAGGCUUUCAUGGCCGGAAUCACUGGGUUGCUGUGAAUUUUCCAGGCUGCAUGGCCAUGCUCUGGAAGCAUUCUCUCCUGACGUUUGUCCUGCAUCUAUGGCAGGCAUCCUCGAGGUUGUGAGCUCUGUUGGAAACUAGGCAAGGGAGGGUUUACAUAUCUGUGGAAGGUCCAGGGUGGGAGUAAAACCCCAUUUGCCUAGUUUCCAACAGACCUCACAACCUCGAGGAUGCCUGCCAUAGAUGUGGGCGAAACGUCAGGAGACAAUGCUUCUGGAACAUGGCCAUACAGCCCGGAAAAUUCACAGCAACCCAGUCUUUAGCCUUCUCUGCCAAAUAAUGCUGGUGCCUUCCCAAAGUACAACUCCCGGGAUUCCGUGGCAUUGAGUCACUGCAGUUAAAGUGGUGCCAAACUGCAUUCCUUCUGCAGUUUAAAUGUGCCCUUGAGAAACGUGGGGGGGGGGGGGGCUUUCCCCUCCUGUCCCAAGACGAGUGAGAGGCCUCAAUAAGGCGCCGGUGCGUCUUAUUUCGGAGUCAACCCGCUUCGCCUUCCUCCCUGCUUAUGGUUCCGGACGUGGCAUGUCGCCUGGGAGAGAGAGCAGAGCCAUCGCUUUUGCUAAAAAAGCCAGCCCAACAUAGAGGCCAAUGUAAGCGCCUGCUUGUGGACCAUCUUCUCGCAAGAUCUUACGAGGACCCACGAGACCUCACGAGAAGAGCUAGGCCUCAGUUGAGGCCUUCCACGUUCGGCGAGGAGGGAGCCGAUGGUCCCCGCUGCUGCCGCCGCCGCUGAAAAUGCAAGAAUCAGGAGCCCCAGUCUUGAAGUGAUGUGGGUCCAAGGUCCAAUCACAGGAUGAUCUUUCUUCCUAAAGGCAAAGAAUCCCAAGAAAUGUUCUACAUGUUAUACACAGAGACUGAACCUGUUCAGACUGCAGAUGUGGGGUUUUGGCAUGUGCCUGCCUGUGAAAUCAAUAAGCAGCAAAAUAUCUUAGCUGUAUUUUGUAUCCUCAUUACUAUGUAGUCAAUUGACACAUUAGGGAAAAAAAUUUCACACAGUCCUCCUACACAUGUGUAAGUAGUCUGCGUCUGGGGAACAUUCUAAAAAUAUGACCCAACCUCUCUUACAGCCUGAAGUAAUAUAAACCCCUCUCAGUUCAGUUCAGUCUUUUGAGGAGUGUUGCAGAACAGUUCUAACUUAACAUCAGAGCUCCGGAGAAAUACAAGUGUAGCUUUAACAAUCCUGUAUUGCAUGUUCAUGCAUUAGACCAGACAGAGAAUGGCAGCAAAGACUUUUUAGUCAAUAUAAAAAAAAAAUGAUCUUCAGUGUUUGCUUUACAUUUAUUAAGAAAAGUCACUGAAGCUCCUGAAAUGUUUCAUUUUGAUGAAGAGGUAAUUUGGUGCUUCACAUUUUUAUGAAUGAAGAUAUUGUUUGAGAUGUGAAAUAACCUAAACAUGCCUUUAUCUAGUUUCCUCAUGCUUUAAGAAGACAAUUAUAUUCAGAUGACUAAGCAAACAGCCCAGACAUAUUGCCUUCUUUCUUGGCUGAAACAAUGAUCAGAAUUGCCAAUGAAAAAGAUCAAUAGGUGAUGCCCCAGUACACAUUUUCACUUAGGUAAGGUAUCCUUUUUUAUGUUUGUUAUCACUGUAAUAAAAUGUGCCAUGGUUUCCUAGAAAUAACACACAGACCUGAAAAAAUGGUGCUGAGCAAUGCCAAAUGCUGUAAGUAAAGGCUUGAUGAAGUCUGGUGAGGAGCCAGUGUGUUGUAACAAUCUGGGCUUUGUACUAAAACUUUGGAGAACAGGGUUUUAAUCUUGAUCUUCUGAUGCUCAUUGAUGGAUUUUAUGAUGCUUUUAGUCUGUGUUUUAAUUGCUCUUAAUUAUAAUGUGGUUAUGCAUUUUAUUUUAUAUCUUGUUUUACAUCUUGUUUUUUGGGCUUGGUCCCCAUGUUAAGCUGCCCCAAAUCCCUUCGUGGAGAUGGAGGCAGGUUAUAAGAAUAAAGUUGUUGUUAUAUUAUUA
Molecule: long non-coding RNA, 3034 nt
Organism: Anolis carolinensis (green anole)
Lineage: Eukaryota; Metazoa; Chordata; Lepidosauria; Squamata; Anolidae
Exons: 3
Source: RefSeq, a predicted model, not a curated record